Molecule: ribosomal RNA, 468 nt
Filed under: uncultured bacterium
Lineage: Bacteria
Description: partial 16S ribosomal RNA
Rfam family: Bacterial small subunit ribosomal RNA
Source: RNAcentral
GACGAACGCUAGCGGCGUGCUUAACACAUGCAAGUCGAACGGAAAGGCCCUGCUUUUGUGGGGUGCUCGAGUGGCGAACGGGUGAGUAACACGUGAGUAACCUGCCCUUGACUUUGGGAUAACUUCAGGAAACUGGGGCUAAUACCGGAUAGGAGCUCCUGCUGCAUGGUGGGGGUUGGAAAGUUUCGGCGGUUGCGGAUGGACUCGCGGCUUAUCAGCUUGUUGGUGGGGUAGUGGCUUACCAAGGCUUUGACGGGUAGCCGGCCUGAGAGGGUGACCGGCCACAUUGGGACUGAGAUACGGCCCAGACUCCUACGGGAGGCAGCAGUGGGGAAUAUUGCACAAUGGGCGGAAGCCUGAUGCAGCAACGCCGCGUGCGGGAUGACGGCCUUCGGGUUGUAAACCGCUUUCGCCUGUGACGAAGCGUGAGUGACGGUAAUGGGUAAAGAAGCACCGGCUAACUACGUG